Molecule: long non-coding RNA, 1403 nt
Organism: Bufo gargarizans (Asiatic toad)
Lineage: Eukaryota; Metazoa; Chordata; Amphibia; Anura; Bufonidae
Exons: 3
Source: RefSeq, a predicted model, not a curated record
UUCUUCUUUUACCCCCGGAAGGUGUGACUGUGUCACUUAAGUGUUACUAAUUGUUGCACAAAGCACGAGGCAAGGCCUAAAGAAGUGAGAGAGAAGAUGUAAGUGCGGCCGCCGAGGGGCGAUCAGAAGAGACGGGACAGAGAACGGCACAGAGGGCUGAGAAAGAAAGAAAAGUCCGUACAGUGUGUCUAUUGUAAAAGCCAACCAGCCUCCCGUAGUAGCACGGCAUCAAUGCUUCAACAUCUGGACAGAAAACACCCAGUUCACGCACGUACUAGUAGUUCACCGAGCGGAGCGGAACCAAGGGAGUUGAAGAGGUCAAGAAUCGUUGGCGGAGCUGCCGUGACCAGUUCCGCAAGGGAAUGAGAAAGCAGGGGCGGAGCGGGGCUGGUCCCCCCAAGAAAAGACCCUACCUCUUCCGGGAGCAGCUAAUGUUCCUUCGCGCCGUCAUGGAUCUGCGUCCUCAUUUUGUGGAACGGAGGACAACCUAGAGGAGGAAGGAGAAGAAUCGGCUCCACAAUUGUCCAGUGCUUGUGAGGAGGAGACGACAGCUGCCCAGCAGGAGACUCUUCCGGGACCAACACCAGCACCUUCCGAGCCUCCUGCAGCAUCAGGAGCUGAUCCCCCCCCCCCCCCCGGCUCUACCCAGCAGGUCCAGAUGAUGGGCAAAUCCUCCUGCCAAGUCCAACGUUAAUGUCCAAGUUUUGGAUUAUUUAUCUCGGGCUCGGCAGGAGGAUCAUCACGAUAUGUUUGCCCGUAGUCUGGCCCAUUAUAUGCAGCAGCUACCUCCAGAACGAUUAUUACAGACAAGAACUUCCGUAGAAAUCGUUCUGGAGCUAGCAAAUUCCCUUCCUGAUCCCUCUGUCAUGCAUGACGCCCUUGAAAAUUUGCGCCGCUAUGGGCAACUAAUUGUCCCCAACAUCCCCGCUGUUUCCCAGCCUUUACCCGACCAACAACAAGGGAUCAUUAUGGGCCACCAAUGGCGUCAUAUGUUCCCCAGAUUCAGGGUGAACCUAGCUAUGGUCCUCCAGGACCCUCGCCCAGUCGAACUGGCCCACCACAAUGCCUUUGCCCCCCUUCCCAGGCACAAUAUUCAAGGGCUCCUUCCCAGGGCCAAUAUUCCGGCCCCCCUUCCCAGGCCCAAUAUUCAAGGGCUCCUUCCCAGGGCCAAUAUUCAGGCCCCCCCUCCCAGGGCCAAUAUUCAAGGGCUCCUUAUGAGGGACAAGCUCAAAAUCAGGCUGGACCCUCACAAUACUCAGCCCCUCCUUAUCAGGGAUCUUCAUCGCCAUCAAGGCAAUAUGUUAAUUUGUAGUAAUUUUGACAGAAAAAUGUAUUUAUUUUAAUAUACCAGAGAAUUUAUUUUCAUAUUGUGUGUAAUAAAACACAUUUUUGUUUUCAAGCUU